RNAcentral lists this ribosomal RNA (301 nucleotides) under uncultured bacterium. RNAcentral describes it as "partial 16S ribosomal RNA". It matches the Rfam family "Bacterial small subunit ribosomal RNA", at positions 509 to 807 of the family's 1533-position model. The record is from RNAcentral.
CAGUAGCCGCGGGAAUACAGAGGGUGCAAGCGUUAAUCGGAAUUACUGGGCGUAAAGCGCGCGUAGGUGGUUUGUUAAGUUGGAUGUGAAAUCCCCGGGCUCAACCUGGGAACUGCAUCCAAAACUGGCAAGCUAGAGUAUGGUAGAGGGUGGUGGAAUUUCCUGUGUAGCGGUGAAAUGCGUAGAUAUAGGAAGGAACACCAGUGGCGAAGGCGACCACCUGGACUGAUACUGACACUGAGGUGCGAAAGCGUGGGGAGCAAACAGGAUUAGAGACCCCGGUAGUCCCUGUCUCUUAUAC